CCUACGGGGGGCAGCAGUGGGGAAUAUUGGACAAUGGGGGGAACCCUGAUCCAGCCAUGCCGCGUGUGUGAAGAAGGCCCUCGGGUUGUAAAGCACUUUCAGUGAGGAAGAACGCCUGGUGGUUAAUACCCAUCAGGAAAGACAUCACUCACAGAAGAAGCACCGGCUAACUCCGUGCCAGCAGCCGCGGUAAUACGGAGGGUGCGAGCGUUAAUCGGAAUUACUGGGCGUAAAGCGCGCGUAGGUGGCUUGAUAAGCCGGUUGUGAAAGCCCCGGGCUCAACCUGGGAACGGCAUCCGGAACUGUCAAGCUAGAGUGCAGGCGAGGAAGGUGGAAUUCCCGGUGUAGCGGUGAAAUGCGUAGAGAUCGGGAGGAAUACCAGUGGCGAAGGCGGCCUUCUGGACUGACACUGACACUGAGGUGCGAAAGCGUGGGUAGCAAACAGGAUUAGAUAACCGUGUAGUC
This 465-nucleotide ribosomal RNA is filed under the name Vreelandella stevensii. RNAcentral describes it as "partial 16S ribosomal RNA". It matches the Rfam family "Bacterial small subunit ribosomal RNA", at positions 338 to 795 of the family's 1533-position model. Lineage: Bacteria; Pseudomonadati; Pseudomonadota; Gammaproteobacteria; Oceanospirillales; Halomonadaceae. The record is from RNAcentral.